AAACGUUUGACACCAGCUAUGUAGGCGGAAAAUCAGUCAAGCGCAGUGAGGGGCUGGUGUUUGUCCGGACCGCAAGGCCGGCGGAUAUCUCAUCUUUGCUGUGGGUGAUGCACUUUUUCGUUCGCAGGUCAACAUCAGUUUCGCUUGCUGGACAAAACCCCGAGAGAAGGUAGCAGCUUUGGCUGUGUUAUAGCUCUGGGGCGAUACAGUGGGUGGGACUGAGGAUUCGCAGUGUGUGCUCUCGGGCAAGGCUGACUGGGUGCUCUGGGGUCGUUUGGCGUACAAUGCUUGCAUUUUGCGUCUUGUCUUCUUCAGACUCGCUUAGUUCGGCUCUUCCACGCUUAGGAUGUUGACUUAAUGGUUUUAAACGA
This 371-nucleotide ribosomal RNA is filed under the name Dissophora globulifera. RNAcentral's name for it is "LSU rRNA". Lineage: Eukaryota; Fungi; Mortierellomycota; Mortierellomycetes; Mortierellales; Mortierellaceae. The record is from RNAcentral.